UACGGAAGGCAGCAGUGGGGAAUAUUGCACAAUGGGCGCAAGCCUGAUGCAGCCAUGCCGCGUGUAUGAAGAAGGCCUUCGGGUUGUAAAGUACUUUCAGUCGUGAGGAAGGUGUUAAGGUUAAUAACCUUAGCAAUUGACGUUAGCGACAGAAGAAGCACCGGCUAACUCCGUGCCAGCAGCCGCGGUAAUACGGAGGGUGCGAGCGUUAAUCGGAAUUACUGGGCGUAAAGGGCACGCAGGCGGUUAAUUAAGUUGGAUGUGAAAUCCCCGGGCUUAACCUGGGAAUGGCAUUCAAGACUGGUUAGCUAGAGUCUUGUAGAGGGGGUAGAAUUCCAUGUGUAGCGGUGAAAUGCGUAGAGAUGUGGAGGAAAUACCGGUGGGCGAAAGGCGGCCCCUGGGACAAAAGACUGACGCUCAUGUGCGAAAAGCGUGGGGAGCAAAACAGGGAUUAGAUACC
Molecule: ribosomal RNA, 460 nt
Filed under: uncultured bacterium
Lineage: Bacteria
Description: bacterial SSU rRNA
Rfam family: Bacterial small subunit ribosomal RNA
Source: RNAcentral